Long non-coding RNA from Amphiprion ocellaris (clown anemonefish), 551 nucleotides. The record is from Ensembl. NCBI's taxonomy places the organism in Eukaryota, Metazoa, Chordata, Actinopteri, Pomacentridae.
AAAAGUUCAGCAGACAGGUGCUCUGCUUUGGAGUGUGACGAUGUCGUCGGUGAUGUGGAGAGUGAAGUUUCCGUUUCACCCACAGCGUGCUUUAGGGCGCCGGGGUCGGACUUGAUGUUUGAAAUACUGAUCGACAGCUCAGAUUUAACUAGUGAAAGUAGCAGUUCCUCCUUAAGGUCAGAGAUUGCAGCAUCUGAGGGCCUCUUCAAAAGAAGACGUAGUUGAUGAAGGCGUUCUGGAGCAGGACCAGAAAGACCACGACCAAGUAGCCUUGAGAUCUUAGGCAGCAUCUCCCUGAGACCAAAGAACUACAGACUCUUCACAACCUCCUCAAACUCUUGGUACAGGACCUCACCAUACGGGUCAAGAAGGUUGCUUUGUAGAACUGUUGCAGAAAACCUCACUAAACCACAUGGAGGGGCCUCAAGAUAGUCAUCCAAAUGAAACCAUACAAAAACCAAACUAGCACAACCCAAACGCUAAAGUCUCCUGCAGCCUACCAGAGAACCUCUGAGAACAGAGAAUCAGCACAGGAACUCUUACCUUCAGGA